RNAcentral lists this long non-coding RNA (2462 nucleotides) under Nicotiana tabacum (common tobacco). RNAcentral's name for it is "long non-coding RNA (NTAB_LNC009291)". The record is from RNAcentral. Lineage: Eukaryota; Viridiplantae; Streptophyta; Magnoliopsida; Solanales; Solanaceae.
CGGCUAUACCUCAAUAUACAAGACAUGAUGAACAGAUGAUAUAGGUCCCCGAAAUAAAGUGGGGAUCACCAAGUUGGCUGAAAAGAGGAUGCGCCACUAGCUGCAACCAACACUGCCUGCUAUGGAACCACCUACAUCCAUUCAAAGAUGUAGCGCCCCCGGCAAAAGGGACGUUAGUGUCGUCGAAUAGCACAAGUAUGUAUAACUAAACACCAUCUCAAUAGAAAGAACUAUCAUACAAGAACAAAAGAAAUCAUAAACACCAUAUCAAUAGAAAGAACUAUCAUACAAGAACAAAGAAAUCAUAAAAAUUCAACAAAAGCUUCAAACAAUCACCACAUCAUCAAAUAAAAGGAAUCACACAACUUUCACGAAGUUUCUAUAGCUUUGGGUCGGGGCAUUUCAUAUUAUUGCAUCAUCAAUCAUAUUACCACCGCUUUCUUGAUCGGAGUCCGAUCACGGCCCGAUCGGCUAAAUUGCCUCAUUUGAGACAUAUACUUCAUUCAUUAUUUCAUUUUCACUUUUCGGAUUUAAUAUCAACACAAUACCAUCAUGUGUGUAGCAUAGCGUCCGAUCACGGCCUGAUCGGCUAAGCCGUCUUACCAAGACGUUACCCUUUUCCAUUAAUCAUCUUAUUUCAAUCUUUAUUUCGCAUAUAACAAUUCAUAGGCACUUAGGGCCACAAUUAUCACAUCAUAUUUGGCACUAUGCCACAUUUCAUAACUCACAUUCCACAUCACUUUCACUUUCAACAUCAAACUUGCAAAUUAAGAUAAUUGGCACAUAAAAGAGCAAUUCAAAUUGUAAGUGUGAGCACGUGAUUUUUGCCCUACAUGAAAUACUCCUAUAAAAUCAAAGAAAAUAGAGUUUUUCUUAAUUAUUUGCCAUUUUUAGGAAUUUUUGUAGAUUUUUAUUAAUUAUUUGCAUUUUUCCUGGACGUUUAAUUUUUAUUUUAAUCGUGAAAAAAAUAUCAAAAUAUCAUGCAUUGAAUUUUUUGUUUUUAUAUUUUUAGAAUUUACCAGUAAUUAUUUAUUUUAUAAAAUUAAAAAUCACAAAAAUUGCUUCAUUUUUACACUUUUUCCUUUUAUAGAUUUUUUUCUCUUUUGCUUUAGGAUUAAGUAGCUUUUAUAAUUUUUCUAAUUAGUUAAUUAGCUUAAUUUCACAUCUUUGGAUAAUCUAGGAUUUUUAUUUUAGGAUUUUUAAAAAUCAAGGAAAAGAAAAUGAAAAAAAAUUGAUUUAGUCGUCCUACCCCAAAGUUAAUUAGUCUAAAUUCAUGACCCAGAUCCUUUCAGGCCCAAAAAUAUUGAGCCCAUACCCUUUUCCCAUUUGAAACCUAAUUCCUACCCCUAUAUUAUAAUGUUAAUUCCUAAAAUAAAGGGCUAGAGAGAAAAAAUCCACCAGAAGCGGAAACCUCACCCACAGACACGAACGUCGCAUCAGAAAUGGCCUUUUAGAGUGGGUUUUUUCCUGAAAUUUCAGAACCAAUAAUUGAUUUGAUCAUCUUAAAUCUCUGAUUCCACAAACUCAAGAGGCAGAACCCUUUCCUCAACCUUCGUUUCCAUUUCCAUUGAUUCUGUGCAAAUAAUAACAAGUACUAUAGCUAGAAAAGAGGUGCAGAAAAUCUCGAGAUUUUGGCUACAAAAGCUGAUAAUGAAAUCUUGCUACCAUGAAUUGUUGUUGUUGUUGUUGUCACGCUGAGCUUCAUCUUCACUCUUUUAUCCAUUAUUCGGCAUUUUAAGCAAUUCGUGAUUUCUAGGUGCGUUUCUUUCGUUUUAUAUUUAAAUCUUUGAAAAGCAAUGAAGCUUCAAGCCCACUGUUAUGCUUUUGUUUGGUUUAGUCUUCGAUCUUAUUAACUGGCCAUAGACUGAAUUACUUGAAAUAUUUGAAUAGAUUUCCUGUAAUGGAUCGGAUGUGGUUGCUUUAUUGAAUGCCUAUGUUUGUAUCAUUUAUUUUCUUCAAAAACCGGUAGUAUGCAAUUUUAAGCUUGGCUUCAAGAAACAUGAGCUGCAAAUCGGCUCUAUAAAAUUUAUUUUCUGUGAGUUGUCUAUGUGAAUCACUAAGUGGGUUAUUUUAAUUAGUUAAGGCUUGGUGAUACAGCUUUGUGAUUCGAUAAUAGCAAUAUUUUGUUUGUUGUAAAUCGUGAAUCAGUGGAGGAAGUUAAAUAUUCAAGGCCAUCAUCAUUUAUUUAUUUAUUUUCUUUCUUUAGCAAUUGGACUCCAUAAAUGAAGUCUUUGGCUAAUUCUGAGAAUGACCGUGUGUAUACAUGUUAUACAAUUCAUAUGUGAUUGUAUGAUUGUUGAUUUCUAUUUGUUGAAAUUGGUUAUUAGUUAAUUCUUUUUCUUAGAAUAAUAAUUAUACAUAGAUAGGCUCAGAUUUGAGAACGUUUCCUACAUGCUACCAUGCCAAAUAAAAUCUCAAAUGUAUGGCCCUCAUUUAAUUAAUUUUAAUUCUUAGAAAUCGAG